CGACUCUCGGCAACGGAUAUCUCGGCUCACGCAUCGAUGAAGAACGUAGCAAAAUGCGAUACUUGGUGUGAAUUGCAGAAUCCCGUGAACCAUCGAGUUUUUGAACGCAAGUUGCGCCCGAAGCCACCCGGUUGAGGGCACGUCUGCCUGGGCGUCACG
Molecule: ribosomal RNA, 159 nt
Filed under: Eupatorium capillifolium
Lineage: Eukaryota; Viridiplantae; Streptophyta; Magnoliopsida; Asterales; Asteraceae
Also listed under: 13 other names
Description: 5.8S rRNA
Rfam family: 5.8S ribosomal RNA
About the family: 5.8S ribosomal RNA (5.8S rRNA) is a component of the large subunit of the eukaryotic ribosome. It is transcribed by RNA polymerase I as part of the 45S precursor that also contains 18S and 28S rRNA.
Source: RNAcentral